RNAcentral lists this ribosomal RNA (253 nucleotides) under uncultured bacterium. RNAcentral describes it as "partial 16S ribosomal RNA". It matches the Rfam family "Bacterial small subunit ribosomal RNA", at positions 524 to 776 of the family's 1533-position model. The record is from RNAcentral.
UACGGAGGGAGCUAGCGUUGUUCGGAAUUACUGGGCGUAAAGCGCACGUAGGCGGCUUAUCAAGUCAGGGGUGAAAUCCCGGAGCUCAACUCCGGAACUGCCCUUGAAACUGGCAGGCUAGAAUCCUGGAGAGGCGAGUGGAAUUCCGAGUGUAGAGGUGAAAUUCGUAGAUAUUCGGAAGAACACCAGUGGCGAAGGCGACUCGCUGGACAGGUAUUGACGCUGAGGUGCGAAAGCGUGGGGAGCAAACAGG